Molecule: ribosomal RNA, 460 nt
Filed under: uncultured bacterium
Lineage: Bacteria
Description: partial 16S ribosomal RNA
Rfam family: Bacterial small subunit ribosomal RNA
Source: RNAcentral
CCUACGGGUGGCAGCAGUGAGGAAUAUUGGUCAAUGGACGAGAGUCUGAACCAGCCAAGUAGCGUGAAGGAUGACUGCCCUAUGGGUUGUAAACUUCUUUUAUAUGGGAAUAAAACGUUCCACGUGUGGGAUUUUGUAUGUACCAUAUGAAUAAGGAUCGGCUAACUCCGUGCCAGCAGCCGCGGUAAUACGGAGGAUCCGAGCGUUAUCCGGAUUUAUUGGGUUUAAAGGGAGCGUAGGUGGAUUGUUAAGUCAGUUGUGAAAGUUUGCGGCUCAACCGUAAAAUUGCAGUUGAAACUGGCAGUCUUGAGUACAGUAGAGGUGGGCGGAAUUCGUUGUGUAGCGGUGAAAUGCUUAGAUAUCACGAAGAACUCCGAUUGCGAAGGCAGUUCACUGGACUGCAACUGACACUGAGGCUCGAAAGUGUGGGUAUCAAACAGGAUUAGAUACCCUUGUAGUC